RNAcentral lists this ribosomal RNA (465 nucleotides) under Vreelandella stevensii. RNAcentral's name for it is "partial 16S ribosomal RNA". It matches the Rfam family "Bacterial small subunit ribosomal RNA", at positions 338 to 795 of the family's 1533-position model. The record is from RNAcentral. Lineage: Bacteria; Pseudomonadati; Pseudomonadota; Gammaproteobacteria; Oceanospirillales; Halomonadaceae.
CCUACGGGCGGCAGCAGUGGGGAAUAUUGGACAAUGGGGGCAACCCUGAUCCAGCCAUGCCGCGUGUGUGAAGAAGGCCCUCGGGUUGUAAAGCACUUUCAGUGAGGAAGAACGCCUGGUGGUUAAUACCCAUCAGGAAAGACAUCACUCACAGAAGAAGCACCGGCUAACUCCGUGCCAGCAGCCGCGGUAAUACGGAGGGUGCGAGCGUUAAUCGGAAUUACUGGGCGUAAAGCGCGCGUAGGUGGCUUGAUAAGCCGGUUGUGAAAGCCCCGGGCUCAACCUGGGAACGGCAUCCGGAACUGUCAAGCUAGAGUGCAGGAGAGGAAGGUAGAAUUCCCGGUGUAGCGGUGAAAUGCGCAGAGAUCGGGAGGAAUACCAGUGGCGAAGGCGGCCUUCUGGACUGACACUGACACUGAGGUGCGAAAGCGUGGGUAGCAAACAGGAUUAGAUACCCUGGUAGUC